This 551-nucleotide long non-coding RNA is filed under the name Arabidopsis lyrata. Its description in RNAcentral is "long non-coding RNA (ALYR_LNC002303)". The record is from RNAcentral. Lineage: Eukaryota; Viridiplantae; Streptophyta; Magnoliopsida; Brassicales; Brassicaceae.
UGAAAGAAACAGACGCAAUGAUCGUCCUCGCAACUUUGAUAGAACCAGAAACUUUGAGAGGAGAAGAGAGAACAUGGCAGGAGGCCCUCCUCCUCAACGUCCUCCAAUGGGAGGUCCUCCUCCUCCUCCGCACAUGGGUGGCUCUGCACCUCCUCCGCCUCACAUGGGUGGCUCUGCACCUCCUCCACCUCACAUGGGGCAGAACUACGGUGGACCACCACCACCAAACAACAUGGGAGGACAAAGGCCGCCACCCAACUAUGGAGGACCACCGCAAAACAACAUGGGAGGACAGAGGCCACCACCAAACUACGGAGGAGCACCACCUCCGAACUACGGAGGAGCCCCACCAGCAAACAACAUGGGAGGAGGACCACCACCUAACUAUGGAGGAGGACCACCACCUAACUAUGGAGGAGUACCACCACCAAACUAUGGAGCAGCACCGCCACCUAACUACGGAGGAGCACCCCCACAGAACAACAACUACCAGCAGCAGAGUGGUGGAAUGCAGCAGCCACAGUACCAGAACAACUACCCACCUAACCGGG